Choloepus didactylus (southern two-toed sloth) is the source of this 438-nucleotide non-coding RNA. The record is from the annotation of a RefSeq genome assembly. Lineage: Eukaryota; Metazoa; Chordata; Mammalia; Pilosa; Megalonychidae.
UUUUAGUCUCAGAUUUAGCCUUUCACUGUGACAUCAACAUAUCUGCAUGUUAAGAAUCAAGAACAUUAUUCAGGAGACAUUCUAAAGAUGAGCUCUUCUCCAGGUUUGCUGACUGUGCUACUCCUAAUGCUUGGAGGAACCAGUGGAGACUCUGUGACCCAGAUGGAAGGUCAAGUGACCCUCUCAGAAGGGGAUCUCCUGACUGUGAACUGCACUUACACAACCACAAGCUACCCCACUCUUUUCUGGUAUGUUCAGUAUCCUGGAGAGAGUCCACAGCUCCUCCUGAAGGCCACAAAAGCCAAAGAAAAGGGAAGCAACAAAGGUUUUGAAGCCACAUACAAUGAGGAAACCACCUCCUUCCACUUGGAGAAACCCUCAAUCCAAGAGUCAGAUUCUGCUGUGUACUUCUGUGCUCUGAGUGACACAGUGAUGUGA